GAUAGAAUAAUGUAGGUAAGGGAAGUCGGCAAAACGGAUCCGUAACUUCGGAACAAGGAUUGGCUCUAAGGGCUGGGCCGAUCGGGCUGAGGUUUCAAGCGUGCAGUGUAUGCUUGGCUGAGUUGUGUUGAGGACUUGUUCACUUGCCGCCGUUUGUUCGGUUGGUCUAGUGUAUUCGAGUCUGAAGCAGAGCUGGCCGACAGACCGGCACGUGCAGAACCUGAGCUGCGCGGCUGUCCGUUUACGUGUACAGACCGUUUCGGUCGGCAUUCAACAGCCAACUUAGAACUGGCACGGACACAAGGAAUCUGACUGUAUAAUUAAAACAAAGCAUUGCGAUGGCCGAUGAUCGGUGAUGACGCAAUGUGAUUUCUGCCCAGUGCUCUGAAUGUCAAAGUGAAGAAAUUCAAUCAAGCGCGGGUAAACGGCGGGAGUAACUAUGACUCUCUUAAGGUAAUUUCGUCCGUGCGGCGGCGUUUUCUUUUCGCUCUCCGCUCGUCGAAAUUUGCUGUAGUUGAUUCGCUUUUUCUUUGCGUUUUCUUCUACUUUCGCAGUUUUUUCUGCAUUGCCACGAUGUCAAACCGCCUUGCCAAUACUGCUGCGGCUGGUGGGGUUCCAGAGAAAAACUCGGGAACUUUAGACAUUCCUGGCCAACCCUCCUCAUCCGGUGAAAAGCGUGCGAUCUCUUAUCCUGGUCCAUUCGGUUGCAAUUCGUGUUCGUUUACGAGUACGACUUGGCUCUCAGUGGAAUUGCAUUUCAAAAGCGUCCAUAAUACUCGCGAGUUUGUCUUCCUUUGCUCUAAAUGUGAAAAAAGCUGGCCAUCGAUCAACUCCGUAGCUAGCCAUUACCCUCGGUGCAAAGGUAGCGUCAAAGCUGCAGUUGUUCCUUCAUCUUUGGCGAAUACGUGCACCACGUGCGGCUCAAGCUUCGGUACUUUCAGCGGUCUUCAACUCCAUCGGAAAAGAGCGCAUCCGGACGUUUUUGCUGCUUCAUGUAGCAAAAAAACGAAGGCCCGUUGGUCUAACGACGAAUUCAUCCUUCUGGCGAGACUCGAAGCAGGUCUGGAUCCAGCCUGCAAAAACAUUAACCAAGUACUUGCGGAAAGGUUAAUGGGAUUUAACAUCACCAGAGGCGUAGAAAUGAUAAAAGGCCAACGUAGAAAAGAUCAGUACAAAGCGCUCGUUCGUCAACUCCGGUCAAAUUCUGAAACACAGCAAUGUGUAGGUUUAGCCGGAAGCAUGGAUUCGAACGUGCCGGUCAACGAUACAACGUCUUCCGUUGCAUCAGAGGUCACCAUUACGUACCCUGAGUACGGGGCCGUGAUGUCUUGCGACCUCAUUAAAGAAGCGACCGGUAUGGCCACGGUUGACAUCAACGAGUUGCAAAGCAACAUUCGAAAAGUCUUCUCGUCCGGCCGCAAACUUCCCAUGAAGGUCCGUGGAGUGCGCGAAACCGUCCAGAAGAAAAUGGCCAACCCCCGUGUUGCGAAAUUCAAGCGGUUCCAACGUUUGUUUCGAAGCAACAGGAGGAAACUGGCCAGCCACAUUUUCGAUAAAGCCUCACUGGAGCAAUUCGGUGGCAGCAUCGAUGAGGCAUCUGAUCACUUAGAAAAAUUCCUCUCCCGGCCAAGAUUGGAGUCCGAUUCUUAUUCCGUGAUAAGCGGUGAUAAGUCAAUCGGAGUUGCACAUCCAAUUUUGGCUGAGGAUGUGGAAUUGGAAUUAAAGGCCACCCGACCAACUGCCGUUGGCCCGGAUGGAAUUGGAUUGGAAGACAUCAAAAAAUUAAACACAUACGACUUAGCCAGUCUUUUUAACAUUUGGCUAAAAGCUGGCGACUUACCCGAUUCGGUGAAAGCCAGUAGAACCAUCUUCUUGCCCAAAAGCGACGGCACCACCGACAUAUCAAAUUGUCGGCCAAUUACAAUCGCAUCCGCUUUGUAUCGGCUGUUCAGUAAAAUUAUAACGCGGCGUCUGGCAGCCAGGUUGGAACUGAACGUGCGGCAGAAAGCGUUCCGGCCCGAAAUGAACGGCGUAUUUGAAAAUUCUGCCAUUUUAUACGCCCUCAUCAAGGAUGCAAAGGUCAGGUCGAAGGAAAUUUGCAUAACUACGCUCGACCUCGCCAAGGCCUUCGACACGGUGCCCCAUUCACGUAUUUUACGAGCCCUCAGAAAAAAUAAUGUCGACCCGGAAUCUGUCGACCUGAUUUCGAAAAUGUUGACGGGUACGACGUAUGCCGAAAUAAAAGGGCUCCAGGGCAAACCUAUAAUAAUUCGCAAUGGAGUCAGGCAAGGUGACCCCUUGUCGCCCCUAUUAUUUAGUCUAUUUAUAGACGAAAUAAUAGGUCGCCUACAAGCCUGCGGCCCUGCCUACGAUUUCCAUGGCGAAAAAAUUUGCAUUCUGGCUUUCGCCGAUGAUCUGACGCUGGUGGCUGACAGUGCAGCUGGUAUGAAGAUCCUUUUGAAAGCGGCUUGUGACUUUCUGGAGGAAUCUGGAAUGUCACUUAAUGCAGAGAAAUGCCGCACUCUCUGCAUUUCACGAUCUCCUCGAAGCCGCAAGACAUUCGUCAACCCAGCUGCCAAAUUCAACAUCAGCGAUUGGAAAACGGGUGUCAGCUCAGAAAUCCCCUCCCUGUGUGCGACGGACACCUUUCGUUUCCUGGGGCACACCUUCGAUGGAGAAGGAAAGAUCCACAUCGAUACGGAGGAAAUUCGAUCCAUGCUCAAAUCGGUGAAGUCAGCUCCACUGAAACCGGAACAGAAGGUGGCUUUGAUACGGUCACACCUUCUUCCCCGCCUUCAGUUCCUGUUUUCUACAGCUGAAGCUGACAGCCGGAAAGCCUGGCUGAUCGACUCCAUCAUCCGGGGGUGUGUGAAGGAGAUCUUGCACUCAGUGAAAGCUGGUAUGUGCACUGAUAUCUUUUACAUACCCUCUAGAGACGGUGGACUGGGAUUUACUUCUCUCGGGGAGUUUUCCCUCUUCAGCAGGCAGAAGGCUCUCGCCAAGAUGGCUGGAUCGUCAGACCCCCUCUCGAAACUGGUUGCUGAAUUCUUCAUUGAAAGGUGGAACAUCGCCCGUGACCCGAAAGUUAUUGAAGCUGCUCGGCGCGUCUACCAGAAAAAACGGUAUCAACGCUUUUUCCAGACGUACCAGAGCGGUGGAUGGAGCGAAUUUUCGGGAAACACUAUUGGAAACGCCUGGCUGACAAACGGCCGUGCCCGCGGAAGAAACUUCAUAAUGGCUGUGAAAUUCCGUUCGAACACCGCAGCCACCCGGGCCGAAAACCUACGGGGCCGUCCCGGCAUGAAAGAAUGUCGGUUUUGCAAGAGUGCCAUCGAAACUCUGGCACACAUCUGCCAGAAGUGUCCGGCAAAUCACGGCUUGGUAAUCCAGCGCCACGACGCAGUCGUAACAUUCCUUGGAGAAGUAGCGCGGAAGGAAGGUUACCAGGUCAUGAUAGAGCCUAAGGUGUCAACCCCGGUCGGCGCGCUCAAGCCCGACCUCCUUCUCAUCAAAGCCGACACUGCAUUCAUUGUGGAUGUAGGCAUCGCAUGGGAAGGUGGACGCCCACUAAAGCUGGUCAACAAAAUGAAAUGUGACAAGUACAAAGUUGCCAUCCCGGCAAUUUUGGAAACAUUUCACGUUGGCCAUGCUGAGACGUACGGCGUUAUUCUGGGCAGCCGCGGAUGCUGGCUCAAGAGCAACGACAAGGCGUUGGCAUCAAUUGGGCUCAAUAUCACACGGAGGAUGAAAGAACACCUGAGCUGGUUGACGUUCGAAAACACCAUCCGAAUUUAUAACUCUUUCAUGAAAAACUGAGGUUUUUUUUUGUUUUCUUUUUCCUUUUACCAUUCUUUCUUGUUACAUUGUUGUUAUUUGCUUUAAUCCUGCAUUUUACCGUCGGCAAUUCCAUCGUUAUUAUUACUGUUAUUAUUAUUAUUGUUACUAUUGUUAUUACUUUUACUUACUAUUGUUAUUACGCUUUAAUUUGUAUACUUACGUUAUUGUUACUACUACUCACGUUGCUCUCGCAAACGUUCGUUAUUGUUACUUUUGGACCAGGUUUAGAGAAAUCGCACGCACAGCGGAACUGGACCGCUUAAGCCAGAAAUAGUAAAGUAACAAUAGCCAAAUGCCUCGUCAUCUAAUUAGUGACGCGUAUGAAUGGAUCAACAAGAUUCCUUCUGUCCCUAUCUACUAUCUAGCGAAACCACAGCCAAGGGAACGGGCUUGGCAAAAUCAGCGGGGAAAGAAGACCCUGUUGAGCUUGACUCUAGUCUGACUCUGUGAAGAGACAUGAAAGGUGUAGCAUAGGUGGGAGAUUGUCAAAUUGCCAUCGUUCGCGCGGUGGUCCGGUGAUCGCCAAUGAAAUACCACUACUUUGAUCGUUUCUUUACUUAUUCGGUAAAGCGAAAAAAUUGUGGCCAAUUUGGCGGUGUUUAUGUCGCUGUUGGUCAUUGUUUUCAUGUUAGAUUGAAGCUUUGUUUACAGCCGUCGCUUUGUGUCGCCAUUUGACGCAUUGUUGUACUGGGUUAUCCCGGUGUGUGGUGUAGUCAGUAUGGAUGAUCGGCGAUAGGUUUGAAGUGAUUCGCUCCGGAAACAGUGUCAGACGGGGAGUUUGACUGGGGCGGUACAUCUGUUAAACGAUAACGCAGGUGUCCUAAGGUAAGCUCAGCGAGGACAGAAACCUCGCUUAGAGUAAACGGGCACAAGCUUACUUGAUUUUGAUUUCCAGUACGAAUAGAAACCGCGAAAGCGUGGCCUAUCGAUCCUUUUGAUUGUGUAGAUUUCAUGCAAGAGGUGUCAGAAAAGUUACCACAGGGAUAACUGGCUUGUGGCAGCCAAGCGUCCAUAGCGACGUUGCUUUUUGAUCCUUCGAUGUCGGCUCUUCCUAUCAUUGCGAAGCAGAAUUCGCCAAGCGUUGGAUUGUUCACCCACCAAUAGGGAACGUGAGCUGGGUUUAGACCGUCGUGAGACAGGUUAGUUUUACCCUACUGAUGACAAGUCGUUGCGAUAGUAAUCCUGCUCAGUACGAGAGGAACCGCGGGAUCAGACAUUUGGUUCAUGCGCUCGGCUGAAAGGCCGGUGGCGCGAAGCUAGCAUCUGCAAGAUUAUGACUGAACGCCUCUAAGUCAGAAUCUUUUCUAGUCAUUGGCAACGAUAAGUUGCGUCCAGACUCGAUGCGAGGAAACGAUUAGGCUUUGCUAUACGGCGAAGCCAUUAUCAGACCACGGUAGCAGGCAGUAUGGGAUUGUUACGAAAAAGCAAUUUUUUGAAGUCAGUUGAAUUCAAUCAAACUGCUAACAAUUCCACUGCGAAUGACUCCAUUCGAAUCAAUCGAAGCACAGCGGUCAGGAUGUCGAACAUUUUGCAGACGACAAAAAUACCGGUUCAGGUGUCGUAAUCAGUAGAGCAGUCAACACACUGCGAUCUGAUGAGACUCAUCCUUGUAAUCGAUUUGCUC
RNAcentral lists this non-coding RNA (5461 nucleotides) under Trichinella sp. T9. RNAcentral's name for it is "Eukaryotic large subunit ribosomal RNA". The stretch from base 3995 to 5461 matches the Rfam family "Eukaryotic large subunit ribosomal RNA", at positions 1891 to 3399 of the family's 3401-position model. Lineage: Eukaryota; Metazoa; Nematoda; Enoplea; Trichinellida; Trichinellidae. The record is from Rfam by way of RNAcentral.